This 401-nucleotide ribosomal RNA is filed under the name uncultured bacterium. Its description in RNAcentral is "partial 16S ribosomal RNA". It matches the Rfam family "Bacterial small subunit ribosomal RNA", at positions 359 to 774 of the family's 1533-position model. The record is from RNAcentral.
GAAUAUUGGGCAAUGGGCGCAAGCCUGACCCAGCAACGCCGCGUGAGGGAAGAAGGCUUUCGGGUUGUAAACCUCUGUCCUUAGGGACGAAAAAAAUGACGGUACCUAAGGAGGAAGCUCCGGCUCACUACGUGCCAGCAGCCGCGGUAAUACGUAGGGAGCAAGCGUUGUCCGGAAUUACUGGGCGUAAAGGGUGCGUAGGUGGCCAUGCAAGUCAGAUGUGAAAUCCCCGGGCUUAACUCGGGUGCUGCAUUUGAAACUGCGUGGCUUGAGUGCAGGAGAGGAAAGCGGAAUUCCUAGUGUAGCGGUGAAAUGCGUAGAUAUUAGGAGGAACACCAGUGGCGAAGGCGGCUUUCUGGACUGUAACUGACACUGAGGCACGAAAGCGUGGGGAGCAAACA